CCUACGUGAGGCAGCAGUGGGGAAUAUUGCACAAUGGGGGAAACCCUGAUGCAGCGACGCCGCGUGAGUGAAGAAGUAAUUCGUUAUGUAAAGCUCUAUCAGCAGGGAAGAAAAUGACGGUACCUGAGUAAGAAGCCCCGGCUAACUACGUGCCAGCAGCCGCGGUAAUACGUAGGGGGCAAGCGUUGUCCGGAUUUACUGGGUGUAAAGGGAGCGUAGACGGCAGUGCAAGUCUGGAGUGAAAGGCGGGGGCUCAACCCCCGGACUGCUCUGGAAACUGUACGGCUGGAGUGCAGGAGAGGUGAGUGGAAUUCCUAGUGUAGCGGUGAAAUGCGUAGAUAUUAGGAGGAACACCAGUGGCGAAGGCGGCUUACUGGACUGUAACUGACGUUGAGGCUCGAAAGCGUGGGGAGCAAACAGGAUUAGAUACCCGAGUAGUC
RNAcentral lists this ribosomal RNA (440 nucleotides) under uncultured bacterium. RNAcentral's name for it is "partial 16S ribosomal RNA". It matches the Rfam family "Bacterial small subunit ribosomal RNA", at positions 338 to 795 of the family's 1533-position model. The record is from RNAcentral.